RNAcentral lists this ribosomal RNA (499 nucleotides) under uncultured bacterium. Its description in RNAcentral is "partial 16S ribosomal RNA". It matches the Rfam family "Bacterial small subunit ribosomal RNA", at positions 28 to 507 of the family's 1533-position model. The record is from RNAcentral.
GACGAACGCUGGCGGCGUGCCUAAUACAUGCAAGUCGAGCGAAGUUUUUCUGGUGCUUGCACUAGAAAAACUUAGCGGCGAACGGGUGAGUAACACGUAAAGAACCUGCCUCAUAGACUGGGACAACUAUUGGAAACGAUAGCUAAUACCGGAUAACAGUAUUUCUCGCAUGAGAGAUAUUUAAAAGUUGGUUAUGCUAACACUAUGAGAUGGCUUUGCGGUGCAUUAGCUAGUUGGUGGGGUAAAGGCCCACCAAGGCGACGAUGCAUAGCCGACCUGAGGGGGUGAUCGGCCACACUGGGACUGAGACACGGCCCAGACUCCUACGGGAGGCAGCAGUAGGGAAUCUUCCGCAAUGGGCGAAAGCCUGACGGAGCAACGCCGCGUGAGUGAAGAAGGAUUUCGGUUCGUAAAGCUCUGUUGUUAGGGAAGAAUGGAUAUGUAGUAACUAUACAUGUAAGAGACGGUACCUAACCAGAAAGCCACGGCUAACUACGUG